RNAcentral lists this ribosomal RNA (1322 nucleotides) under metagenome. RNAcentral describes it as "bacterial LSU rRNA". It matches the Rfam family "Bacterial large subunit ribosomal RNA", at positions 1561 to 2925 of the family's 2925-position model. The record is from RNAcentral.
AGUGGAUGGGGAGCAACCUAGUUUGCGUGUGUAAAGGUAGUGCCAAGAAAAGCGGUGAUCAUGAUGAAAAUCAAUUCCCGGUACCCGAAACCGACACAGGUGGGCAAGUAGAGAAUACUAAGGGGCGCGAGGUAACUCUCUCCAAGGAACUCGGCAAAAUGACCCCGUAACUUAGGGAGAAGGGGUGCCACCGAGAGGUGGUCGCAGUGAAGAGGCCCAGGCGACUGUUUAGCAAAAACAUAGGUCUCUGCAAACUCGAAAGAGGAGGUAUAGGGGCUGACGCCUGCCCAGUGCCGGAAGGUUAAAGAAGUUGGUCAGUCUUAGGAUGAAGCUAGCGACUGAAGCCCCGGUGAACGGCGGCCGUAACUAUAACGGUCCUAAGGUAGCGAAAUUCCUUGUCGGGUAAGUUCCGACCCGCACGAAGGGCGUAACGAUCUGGGCGCUGUCUCGGAGAGAGGCUCGGCGAAAUAGGAUUGUCUGUGAAGAUACGGACUACCUGCAUUUGGACAGAAAGACCCUAUGAAGCUUUACUAUAGCUUGGAAUUGUGUUCGGGCUUCCUGUGCGCAGGAUAGGUGGGAGGCGUAGAAGGUAUUCUUGUGGGGAUACUGGAGCCAACGGUGAGAUACCACUCUCAGGAGGCUAGAAUUCUAACUUAAUUAAGGACAGUUUCAGGUGGGUAGUUUGACUGGGGCGGUCGCCUCCAAAAAGGUAACGGAGGCGUACAAAGGUUCCCUCAGACUGGUUGGAAAUCAGUCGAAGAGUGCAAAGGCAGAAGGGAGCUUGACUGCGAGAAGUACAGUUCGAGCAGGGUGGAAACACGGUCUUAGUGAUCCGACGGUGCUGUGUGGAAGGGCCGUCGCUCAACGGAUAAAAGUUACUCUAGGAUAACAGGCUGAUCUCCCCCAAGAGUUCACAUCGACGGGGAGGUUUGGCACCUCGAUGUCGGCUCAUCGCAACCUGGGGCGGAAGUACGUCCCAAGGGUUGGGCUGUUCGCCCAUUAAAGCGGUACGUGAGCUGGGUUCAGAACGUCGUGAGACAGUUCGGUCCAUAUCCGAUGUAGGCGUGAGAAUAUUGAGAGGAGCCUUCCUUAGUACGAGAGGACCGGGAAGGACGCACCGCUGGUGUACCUGUUAUGAUGCCAAUUGUAAACGCAGGGUAGCCAAGUGCGGAGAGGAUAACCGCUGAAAGCAUCUAAGUGGGAAGCCCACCUCAAGAUGAGUAUUCUGGUGUAAGGUCACGGGAAGACGACCCGUAAAUAGGCACGAGGUGGAAGUGCAGAGAUGUAUGAAGCCGAAGUGUACUAAUAGACCGUCGGCUUGA